This 654-nucleotide ribosomal RNA is filed under the name uncultured bacterium. Its description in RNAcentral is "bacterial SSU rRNA". It matches the Rfam family "Bacterial small subunit ribosomal RNA", at positions 367 to 1021 of the family's 1533-position model. The record is from RNAcentral.
GGACAUGGGCACCUGAUCAGCAUGCCGCGUGUGUGAAGAAGGCCUUCGGGUUGUAAAGCACUUUUGUCAGGAACGAAACGGUGGGGGCUAUACCCUCUGCUAAUGACGGUACCUGAAGAAUAAGCACCGGCUAACUACGUGCCAGCAGCCGCGGUAAUACGUAGGGUGCAAGCGUUAAUCGGAAUUACUGGGCGUAAAGCGUGCGCAGGCGGUUGUGCAAGACAGAUGUGAAAUCCCCGGGCUCAACCUGGGAAUUGCAUUUGUGACUGCACGGCUAGAGUGUGUCAGAGGGGGGUAGAAUUCCACGUGUAGCAGUGAAAUGCGUAGAUAUGUGGAGGAAUACCGAUGGCGAAGGCAGCCCCCUGGGAUAACACUGACGCUCAUGCACGAAAGCGUGGGGAGCAAACAGGAUUAGAUACCCUGGUAGUCCACGCCCUAAACGAUGUCUACUAGUUGUCGGGUCUUAAUUGACUUGGUAACGCAGCUAACGCGUGAAGUAGACCGCCUGGGGAGUACGGUCGCAAGAUUAAAACUCAAAGGAAUUGACGGGGACCCGCACAAGCGGUGGAUGAUGUGGAUUAAUUCGAUGCAACGCGAAAAACCUUACCUACCCUUGACAUGUACGGAACCCUGCUGAGAGGUGGGGGUGCUCGA